Molecule: ribosomal RNA, 604 nt
Filed under: uncultured Sebacinaceae
Lineage: Eukaryota; Fungi; Basidiomycota; Agaricomycetes; Sebacinales; Sebacinaceae
Description: eukaryotic LSU rRNA
Rfam family: Eukaryotic large subunit ribosomal RNA
Source: RNAcentral
AGGAAAAGAAACUAACAAGGAUUCCCCUAGUAACGGCGAGUGAAGAGGGAAGAGCUCAAAUUUUGAAUCUGGCGUCUUUGGCGUCCGAAUUGUAAUCUAGAGAAGUGUUUUCCGUGACGGACCGUGCACAAGUCUCCUGGAAUGGAGCGUCAUAGAGGGUGAGAAUCCCGUAUAUGGCAUGGACUGCCGUUGCUCUGUGAUACACUCUCGACGAGUCGAGUUGUUUGGGAAUGCAGCUCUAAAUGGGUGGUAAAUGCCAUCUAAAGCUAAAUAUUGGCGAGAGACCGAUAGCGAACAAGUACCGUGAGGGAAAGAUGAAAAGCACUUUGGAAAGAGAGUGAAACAGUACGUGAAAUUGUUGAAAGGGAAACGCUUGAAGUCAGUCGCGCCGUUCGGGAUUCAGCCUUGCUUCUGCUCGGUUUACUUCCUGUUGGGUGGGUCAACAUCAGUUUUGGUCGGAGGAGAAAGGCUUGGGGAAUGUGGCAGCAUUCGUGCUGUGUUAUAGCCCCUUGUUGUAUACUUCGGCUGGGACUGAGGAUCGCAGCACGCCUUUGGCCGGGGUUCGCCCACGUACGUGCUUAGGAUGUUGGCAUAAUGGCUUUAA